GACGAACGCUGGCGGCGUGCCUAAUACAUGCAAGUAGAACGCUGAAGGAGGAGCUUGCUUCUCUGGAUGAGUUGCGAACGGGUGAGUAACGCGUGGGUAACCUGCCUGGUAGUGGGGGAUAACUAUUGGAAACGAUAGCUAAUACCGCAUAAUAUUGACUAUUGCAUGAUAGUCAGUUGAAAGGUGCAACUGCACCACUACCAGAUGGACCUGCGUUGUAUUAGCUAGUUGGUGGGGUAACGGCUCACCAAGGCGACGAUACAUAGCCGACCUGAGAGGGUGAUCGGCCACACUGGGACUGAGACACGGCCCAGACUCCUACGGGAGGCAGCAGUAGGGAAUCUUCGGCAAUGGACGGAAGUCUGACCGAGCAACGCCGCGUGAGUGAAGAAGGGUUUCGGAUCGUAAAGCUCUGUUGUAAGAGAAGAACGAGUGUGAGAGUGGAAAGCUCACACUGUGACGGUAUCUUACCAGAAAGGGACGGCUAACUACGUG
Molecule: ribosomal RNA, 495 nt
Filed under: uncultured bacterium
Lineage: Bacteria
Description: partial 16S ribosomal RNA
Rfam family: Bacterial small subunit ribosomal RNA
Source: RNAcentral